AUACUUACCUUGCAGGGAGAUACCAUGAUCAUGAAGGUGGUUUGCCUAGGAUGAGGCUUAUCUAUUACACUCCGCAUGUGCUGACCCUUGCCUGUGAUUUCCUCUAAUGUGGAAAACUCGACUGCAUAAUUUGUGGCAUGGUAACA
Molecule: small nuclear RNA, 146 nt
Filed under: Erinaceus europaeus (western European hedgehog)
Lineage: Eukaryota; Metazoa; Chordata; Mammalia; Eulipotyphla; Erinaceidae
Description: U1 spliceosomal RNA
Rfam family: U1 spliceosomal RNA
About the family: U1 is a small nuclear RNA (snRNA) component of the spliceosome (involved in pre-mRNA splicing). Its 5' end forms complementary base pairs with the 5' splice junction, thus defining the 5' donor site of an intron. There are significant differences in sequence and secondary structure between metazoan and yeast U1 snRNAs, the latter being much longer (568 nucleotides as compared to 164 nucleotides in human).
Source: Rfam by way of RNAcentral